Molecule: long non-coding RNA, 1039 nt
Filed under: Marmota monax (woodchuck)
Lineage: Eukaryota; Metazoa; Chordata; Mammalia; Rodentia; Sciuridae
Source: RNAcentral
GAGAAACCAACUUGGUCACCUGGGAGGCCAUAGAGGAGAGCCCGUUGUGACUGCAUGAGUGGAGCUCAGCUGUGGAUGCCCAGCAUGGAUGACUACACCGUCCUGAGAGUGAUCAGGGAGGGCUUCUUUGGCAGAGCUCUUUUGGUUUAGCAGGAAAGCAACAAUCAGAUGUUUUCCAUUUAGAAAAAAAGGCUUCUAAGUCUCCCUCUGAUAGACAGAAUCCUAGGAAAGAGGCUGUUCUGUUAGCCAAAAUGAAACACCCAAUAUUGUUGCCUUUAAAGAAUUCUUUGAGGCUGAAGGACAUCUGUAUGUGAUAGAGUAUUGUGAUGGAGGAGAUCUACUGCAAAAGAUUAAAAAGCAAAGAGGAAAAUUAUUUUCUGUAGCUAUAAUACUUAAUUGGUUUACACAAAUGUGCUUUGGAGUAAACCACAUUCACAAGAAACGUGAGCUACACAGAAAUAUCAAUUAGAGGACAUCUUCCUCACCCAAAAUGGAAAAGUAAAAAUGGAAGAUUUUGGAUCUGCACGUCUUCUCUCCAAUCCCAUGGCAUUUGCUUAUACAUAUGUGGGAACACCUUAUUAUGUGCCUCCAGAGAUUUUGGAAAACCUACCUUAUAAUAAAAAGUGACCUCUGGUCCUUGGGAUGCAUUCUAUAUAAACUCUGUACCCUUAAGCAUUCAUUUCCAGCAAACAGUUGGAAAAGUCUUAUUCUCAAAAUAUGUCAAGGGAUCCACCCACUGCCAUCUCAUUAUUCCUAUGAGUUUUACUACCUUGUCAUGCAGAUGUUCAAAAGGAAUCCUUCACAGUGCCCUUCAGCUACUACUCUGCUCUCCAGAGGCAGUUUAGCUCUCGGCUAGUCCAGAAGUGCUUACUCCCUGAGGUCAUCACAGCAUAUGGAGAAUAAAUUAUUAGAUGAAACCAAAAUGUGUCAGCAUAAUACACCAAGAAAAACCAACCCCGGGAGAAUCACGAUAGCUCUGGGAAAUGAAACAAGCAUGAUGCAAGAGGGAGAAAAAGAAAGUGUAACCAUCCCAAUUUAG